This 1272-nucleotide long non-coding RNA is filed under the name Cyanistes caeruleus (blue tit). RNAcentral's name for it is "lncRNA (ENSCCEG00000003700.1)". Lineage: Eukaryota; Metazoa; Chordata; Aves; Passeriformes; Paridae. The record is from RNAcentral.
AUGGCGGCGGCGGCGCUGCGGUCCCGGGGCGGCGGAGCGGUGAGAGGGGUCCUGGCGACGCUGCUGCGGCCCCGGCGUGGCUACAACAGCACCUUCCGGGUGAGCGGGGGGCCGGGACCCCCAAAAGCGCCCCGAAACCCCCCAGAUAGAGCCCCCAAAUCCCGCCGGGCCCCCCCAAAUGACGCCAAGCCCUCGCCAGGCCUCGGAGCUGGAGCUGGAGCGCUCGGGGGCCCCCGGCACCCCCCCAGCCCCCCAGGACCUGGUGUUCGGGAAGGUUUUCACCGACCACAUGCUGAUGGUGGAGUGGAGCCGGGACCGGGGCUGGGGGCGCCCCAAAAUCCGCCCCUUCCAGGAGCUGCGGCUGCACCCGGCCUCGUCCGCCCUGCACUACGCCGUGGAGGUCAGGGGAGCCAAAAACACCCCGAAAACGCCCCAAAAAUCACCCUAAAGUUACCCCAAAUCACCCCAAACAUGCCCCUAUGCCGUGGAGGUCAGAGGAGCCAAAACCGCCUCAGAAUAGCCCCAAAAAUCACCCUAAACUUGGGACCACGCCAUGGAAAUCAGGGGAACAAAAAACACCCUGGGAUCACCACAAAAAUCACCCCAAAUAACCCCAACCCUGCACUAUGCCACGGAGGUCAGGGGAGCAAAAAACACUCUGAAAACAUCCUAGAAUCACUCCAAAAAUCACUCCAAAUUACCCCAAACCCUGCACCAUGCCAUGGAGGCCAGCGGGACCCCAAAAACAUCCCUGGGAGCCCCAAAAUCACCCUAAAACCCCCUUGAGACCCCCUCAAAUCACUCCAGGACUCCUGGGACCCUCUGAAAACCCCCUGGUAGCCCCCUAAUGCACCCCAAAUCCCUCCUAGACCUCCCGGGACCCCUCAAAAUCCUCCCCAAACCCCCGGGACUCCCCUCUCCACAGCUCUUUGAGGGUCUCAAGGCUUUUCGGGGUGAUGACGACAAAAUUCGGCUUUUCCGCCCCGACCUGAACAUGGAGAGGAUGCAGAGAUCAGCCCGCAGGGUCUGCCUGCCCGUGAGUGGGGUGUCCCCCCGAAAAAUCCCCAAAUAACCCCAAAACCCCCUCAAAAUUACCGCCAAAAUGAUCCCAAAAUAACCCCAAGCCCACCCCAAAUAACUCCCAAAAUAACCCCCAAAAUUACCCCAAAAUUACCCCUUAACUCCCCCAGAAUAACCCCAAAAAUCUUCCCCUGGGGGGUCUCCCUGCCCGUUGAGUGGGAUGUCUCCUCCCCAAAAAAAUCCCAAAAUAAC